GAAGGCAUGCUUCGUAAAUAAAUUUCCGCAAUGUGAGCAGGGGAAUAACGCGAAGUAAAUAAGCGCGCUAGGGUUCUGAACACAUAAAGAAGGCGACCACCGUGGUCGCCUUUUCUGUUAUU
Molecule: small RNA, 122 nt
Filed under: Klebsiella pneumoniae
Lineage: Bacteria; Pseudomonadati; Pseudomonadota; Gammaproteobacteria; Enterobacterales; Enterobacteriaceae
Description: STnc250 Hfq binding RNA
Source: RNAcentral